Molecule: ribosomal RNA, 312 nt
Filed under: uncultured Actinomycetes bacterium
Lineage: Bacteria; Bacillati; Actinomycetota; Actinomycetes
Description: bacterial SSU rRNA
Rfam family: Bacterial small subunit ribosomal RNA
Source: RNAcentral
GCCUCAUACAUGCAAGUCGACGUGAACCGGGGCUGCGACACCGUGGAAAGUGGCGAUCGGGUGCGUAAGAAAAGAGCAACCUGCCCCGAAGACCGGGAUAACCCGAGGAAACUCUUGCCAAUACCGGAUGUCCUCACCGAACCGCAUGGCUUGGUGAGGAAAUGGAUUCCGCUUCGGGAUGGGCUCGCGGUCUAUCAGCUUGUUGGUGGGGUAACGGCCCACCAAGGCGACGACGGGUAGCUGGUCUGAGAGGACGACCAGCCACACUGGGACUGAGAUACGGCCCAGACUCCUACGGGAGGCAGCAGUGGG